Peromyscus californicus insignis is the source of this 4399-nucleotide long non-coding RNA. RefSeq lists it as uncharacterized. NCBI's taxonomy places the organism in Eukaryota, Metazoa, Chordata, Mammalia, Rodentia, Cricetidae. The transcript is spliced from 4 exons. The record is from RefSeq and is a predicted model, not a curated record.
UUCUGGCUUCAGCUUUCCAAGUGUUGAGAUCAUAGGUAUGAGCCGCCAUAACUCAACCUCCUUCCCCUCCCCCCCUUUUUUUAUUAUGCAGGUCAUUAAUCUAAGAAGGCAGUGACCCUUGACUUGCAGAAUCAUCUGAGAAGCAUUUUAAAUAUUGGAUACCUAGGCCCUACCCUGAAUUCCUCAAAAGGUGGUUUGCGGUGCGACUGGGGCACCCCAGGCAAGUCUGUUGUGCGGCAGGAACAGAGCCACAGGCCCAGCGGUUUCUAGCUUUCAGCUAAGAAACCACUCUUAUUUACAUCCUCCUCUACGGAAACACUGUGCCUGCCCUGGAAUGCGCCCUACUCCCACGCCAGGGGAGAUGUGCUAGUUAGUUACUCACUCAAGUGACGCCCAAUCGAAUAGAAGAAAACAGCAACAAAUAGAAAUCAAAGCAGUGCUUUCCCGUCCUACACGGCAGGUCAGGCCGCGCAAGGCCCAAAAUAAAUAGCUAACGGUAAUUCGCUAAAAGUAAAGGGACUUCUACAAGAAUUCCUUGCAAGGUCGAAGGGUCUAGGGAAAAGCGGGGGUACACUGGUAGGCCUUGCCUGCUCCCAUAGCAGAAGCCCGAACGCUCAGUCGGUAGAGCAUGAGACUCUUAAUCUCAGGGUCGUGGGUUCGAGCCCCACGUUGGGCGCCAAGGGGGAAGUGCUGUGGAAUGUUCUGUAUGGCAAAUGUGUUGCUAAUUAGUUAAUAAAUAAAACACUGAUUGGCCAUUGGCUAGGCAGGAAGUGUAGGCGGGACAAGGAGGAGAAAAAAGCUGGGAAGUGGAAGGCUGAGUCAGAGAGACACUGCCAGCCGCCACGAUGAGAAACAGAAUGUGAAGAUACCGGAGGAGUCUGGGGACCGCCCUUUAUGACCUGCAGACUACACUCACCUGUCUGUCCAAGCUGACUGCAGGAGGAACCGCUCAUCCAUGCCUGCCCUGCUUUUGGGCACAUGAGUAGAUCAAGAAAUAUGGAUUCUUACUGUACACAGGUUAAAGGCCCAACUCCAUGUCUCUUGAAAAACAGUCCAAGGAUUUUUUACUCAGAUCUACUGGAGACACACCUGGACAUGUCCUUGCUUGCCCACAGAGGUUUAUCCGAGGAGAGAAGAUCCACCCUGACUAUGAGGUCAUGACAUCCCAUACACUGGGGUUCCAGACUGAAUAAAAAGGAAAAAUAGGAGAAAGUGAACUAAAUGGUCUCACUAUGUAUUUGGCUUGAACUUGCUAUACAGAUCAGGCUGCCCCCAAACUGACAGAGACCCACCUGCUUCUGCUUCCCUGGUGAUGAGAUUAAAGGCAUGUGCCACUACAUCUGGCUGAUUUGGACCUAAAAUGUCUCCCAGUGGCUACUGUCUAGAAGGUUUGAGCUGUAGUAUUGGGAAGUGGUGGAGGAAAGGAUAGUGGGGGGCGGGGGUGUGCCCUGGUCUUCUUCUCUGUCUCUAAUUACCUGCACCAUGAGCUGAGAGCUUGGCUAGGCUGUGCACUCCCAGCCCCACAUCUCUGCCCUUCCAAUAAACCCAAAUGAACUAGGCCAAGCAGACAGCAACCUCUCAACCUUUCCUUGGGGCACUCCUUCUUGCUUCUAAGUUGAUUAUCUCAGGUGGCCUGCUGCUGUCAUUCAUCUGACACAACCUUGAGUUGUGUCGUGGUAUGCUUUCUGGAAGCCCCCCCUUUGAGCUGCUAAUCCUUCGAGCGAAUCGCCACUAUUUUCGUAUUUCGUUUUACAGCCCCAGUUUUCCAGAAGCCCAGGUUGGCCUCAUUCUGCCUUUGACUCUGCCAACGGCAGGUUUGCAGGCUCUGGGGCAAUCAGCAAAUGUGCUGCAGGAUGUGAAGGAAGCUCCAAAGCAGGUGCUCCGGGACUAUUCUCAGAAAUGACAGCAUCACUAGAUUUAGUACCCAGCUUUGCCAAGGGAACGCUGUUGAAGGGGAGAAAUAUUCAUUUGAAUAUACGAAUACAGACAUAUUUAUUUUAAUACUUGGAUAAAGAAUUGAGAGUAUCAGCUAGCUUUAUAUUGAAGUGAAUAAAUACACUGCUGCAAUAAUGAUAUUUCGGAUUUUGGGUGCAAGGGUGAGGCCAUCCAAUAAGCUCUAUGUAUGUGCUUUGCGCAGCAAAGCAAGUCCUGAAGUGAUGUUUUGAAAUGAAAGCAUGCUUUUCCUGUUAGUUUGCAUAGUUAUUGAAGAUUUCCCUUUCUUGAAGGAAAAAGGAAACUUGAAACAAACAAAAAUAAAAUUAAAAUUAAAAAGCACACCAUCACCCCCAACAAAACAAAAACCCAGACUGGGAUAGCUGUGGUGGAGCAUGCCUUUAAUCCCAGCACUAGGGAGGCAGAGGGAGGUGGAUUUCUGUAAGUUCAAGGCUAGCCUGAUCUACAUAGUGAAUUCCAGGCCAGCCAGGGAUAUGCGGACUACCCUGUCUCAAAGCAAACAAACAAAAAAAUCGGACCCACUAAAUGUUAGUUCCCAAAAUAGCUCUUAGAGAUUGGGGCUGCAGCUUACUUACUUAUCAUGUGCUAGGCCCCAUGCUUAAUUUCCAACACUACAAAUAAAAUAUUUCUUGUAAUGCACACAUUUGUAAUUCCAAUAGUUGGGAAAUAGAGACAGAAGGAUUAGCUAUAUUUGAGGCCAACCUGGGCUCCAUGAGUCCUUGUUCCCCCCCAAAAAAAGUUAAAAACAAACAAACAAACAAAACCAGUCCUUGGUUUUCUUAGGGAGCAGACAUCUCAAUGUGUGCCAGAGGAUGGCCCUGUACUCACAGCCUAGAAGGAAAGACAUUCUUUCCCAAACACAAGUGCCUUCCAGUGGCAAAGAAAUCACAGGGUCGCUAUGAAUCAGUUGUUAUCCCUAAAUAAACUACCCACCACAAAUAAUCAGCAAUGUAAGGUAGGUCAACAAGAUGCUCAACAUUACUUUAAAUGAAAUGACUUGCACACCCAAGAUAAACAAAGGAAAACAGACAAUGCCUAGGUCAUGUUUUCAGAUAUGCCUUAGACACGUAUCCUCUGAGAUGCCAGGGAUGGAGCAGUUCAGGGCACAGGAACAGACCACCAAUAACUUCAACAGGGCAGUUGUGGAUAGUGCCUUCCACGAGGGUAACUUCUUAACCACAGGAAAAGAAACCCGCACCAGUAGAACACUGAAGUUUGCCUGUGGGAUGCAAUGUGCUUGUCCACCCCCUCGCCCUCCAUUUUUUCUCAGCAGCUGCCUCUGGUGGAUUAUUACUCUACAAACACCUACAUUACAUGACACAUACCUACAUUACAUGAGUUCUGCCCAAAGCACACAAGGUUGAUAUCCCUUAUGUAUUUGAAAUCUCACUCUGUGAUUAUUCCUUUUGCCCAAGUCUCUUCUUAUCACAUGCUCAAGCAAAGCAUUUCCAACCCAGGUCACAAAUAUGAGGUGUCACUUAAGCAAGACAAAGUGCUCCCCAGGACCAGGGGUCUCUUUUUUAUCACUGGGUACCUACAACUGCUCAGGAAGUUGAGACACUUGGCUGCCUCCAGGUCCUGGCAACUAACUGGUCAUCCUUCCAUUAGGUUCCCAAUAUUCCUGGGCUCGCUGAGCGCUGGGUCCCCACGUGUACUGUCUAGGGCUUCCCAAUCUGCUGUCUAGGGGAUACCCUCUUGAGAUGUCCGCGACUACCUCCCCUGAAAAGACGACACUCUCAGCACUGCCCCGCUGGCCACCUCUGCCCUUUCGUGCUCUCUGGUCCCUCAGAUCAUCAUAGCCCCUAAAUCAGUAGCCCAUGGUUUUCAGCACAACUGAGCUCCGUGUAGCAUCUCCUCGGAGUACCCUGCUCCAUUCUCCUCAAGGAGGAGCUCACGCCUUGCUCACCUUACUCUUUCCGGGGUUCCCCUCCCUCGGGCACCCCCUUCCUCCCCGUUCUUCCUCUACUAGGCAUUCCCCUCCGGGGUUCCGUUCCUCUCUGCCCUGUGGAGGGCGCCCCAAGAAUGCGCACAGGACUCCCCUCCUCUGGAUCUUGUCUCUCCUGCUCUCCGGGCUCAUACACCCACAAUUCACGACCGUGACAUCUACCCCAAACCCCAGAUCCCCAGGCUCCCAUCCCCAAGCUCCUCACUAGCUAGUCCGGAUUCCCAAGCCCCAGCCCUUCAGGGGUCUGCAGCUUCCCAACUCCAUGGUCUGGACUGUCUGUCCUGCAUUCUAAAAACGAGUAUUGAAACUCCAACAUCGGGUCCCACCCCCGGCCCCUGGGGUCGGGGCACCUGUCAAUGCGGUUCUACAUCUUCUCUGCGGAGUCGUCGGGUCAGGCGCUCCCCAACGUCUCCAUCCUGACAUCCCCGCCUCCCGAGCUCUGGCAGAGGCUCCCCAGCAUCACAGUGGAGACCUGCACCCUGCCCUGUCCCCAGACGCCGC